GUGCUCUCUUCUGCAGCGCUUAUACUAAAAUUGAAACAAUACAGAGAAGUUUAACAUAGCCCUGGAGCAAAGAUGACAGGUGAGUUCAUGAAGUAUUUCACAUUUAA
Small nuclear RNA from Myodes glareolus (Bank vole), 107 nucleotides. The record is from RefSeq and is a predicted model, not a curated record. Lineage: Eukaryota; Metazoa; Chordata; Mammalia; Rodentia; Cricetidae.